Long non-coding RNA from Numida meleagris (helmeted guineafowl), 753 nucleotides. RefSeq lists it as uncharacterized. The transcript is spliced from 5 exons. Lineage: Eukaryota; Metazoa; Chordata; Aves; Galliformes; Numididae. The record is from RefSeq and is a predicted model, not a curated record.
AAACAUAGGUCCGUGGCAUGAUCCUAGAGAUUUUAAAAGUAGAAGGUACAUGCAAUAAGGCAAAAACAGCGCAGGUUUUCAGCAUGGAGGUUCUGUGUCCUGCCUCAGUUCCCAAGAUUCUGCAGUCCUGAGUCAUGGUCAUGAGGAGAAGAGCUGUAACGCUGUGAUCCAGAAUUUCCGAUUUCUAACCUGAACAGACGUGGCCUGGUCAUCAGCGUGGUUGCAGGGCAGCUCAGAGCCCAGCUUGGAUGCGUUGGGGUCACAGCCUCCAUCAGCUCCACCAGCAGAACCCUUGUCAGCUCCUGAGCCAACAUCCAAAUGCUUUCCUAACGCUUGGCUACCUUCGAGAACAGCAAUGCUGAACCCUGAGAAGCAAUCAGAGGCUACUGUGUUCCAGAUGAGCACAUGGAGGGAUGCAAAAACGUCAGCUGCCCCAUGAGCUGGGAAAUUCAGCUACAACUGAAAUAGCUCAUCAUGGGCAAUAAUGAGCAGAGUAACUACGGUCAAAAACACCACGCAGUGAGUGAGUAAUGCAUGCAGCUCCAGCUCUUCCCUGCCUCUUAUGGAUGACGGGAGAUUGAAACAGCUCAUCUUUGAGGUAAGAAAAUAUUCAGAGGAAGAUUUUUGUUUGAGGCAGAUGACAGCUUUUGUUUUGAUUGAAAUGGAAAGUUUUGCUUCUCCUCUGUUCUUGUGACAUCUCUGCCUCAGUCAUCUGUGUGGUGUUUUAGCAUCUUACAGCACAGCGUUAACCAA